This 367-nucleotide long non-coding RNA is filed under the name Mytilus galloprovincialis (Mediterranean mussel). Lineage: Eukaryota; Metazoa; Mollusca; Bivalvia; Mytilida; Mytilidae. The record is from RNAcentral.
CCCCCUCCCCCGAAAAUCAAUUGGUUGCUGCCUUCUGGGUUCGGCAAUGAUGCUGCUUUGAGUCUUGAUUAGGGGUUAAUAAAGUACGUUAAUUUUUUUUAACCAAAAAAAAAUCUGUAAAAUUUAGACAACUAAUAAUUAUCAAAAAUAUCAAUUUUACUCAAAAAUAGUUUCCUCCUUAAAUAUUUACACGAUAAAACUAAUGUCCUAAAUGCAGUUUUGUGUACACUUAACCUACACAUGGCCUACAUUGACUAUCGACUGUGUGUAGGUAAAACAUGAUUUAAACUACAUGUAAACAUUGAGUUUUAUCAAUGGGAACGCAAUUGUGUUUAGUUUACGUGUGAGUUACACAAACACAACACCG